ACGGAGGGUGCAAGCGUUGUCCGGAUUUAUUGGGUUUAAAGGGUGCGUAGGCGGCUAAUUAAGUCAGCGGUGAAAGUUUUGGGCUCAACCCAGAAAUUGCCAUUGAUACUGGUUAGCUUGAGUAUUGGAGGGGUACAUGGAAUUGAUGGUGUAGCGGUGAAAUGCAUAGAUACCAUCAGGAACACCGAUAGCGAAGGCAUUGUACUGGCCAAUAACUGACGCUGAUGCACGAAAGCAUGGGUAGCGAACAGG
RNAcentral lists this ribosomal RNA (252 nucleotides) under uncultured bacterium. RNAcentral describes it as "partial 16S ribosomal RNA". It matches the Rfam family "Bacterial small subunit ribosomal RNA", at positions 525 to 776 of the family's 1533-position model. The record is from RNAcentral.